This 78-nucleotide transfer RNA is filed under the name Variovorax guangxiensis. RNAcentral's name for it is "tRNA-Met". The record is from RNAcentral. Lineage: Bacteria; Pseudomonadati; Pseudomonadota; Betaproteobacteria; Burkholderiales; Comamonadaceae.
AGGCGAAUACUCCGGGAUAGAACAUUUCCCGGACUCAUAAUCCGUUGGUCGCUGGUUCAAGCCCAGCACGGCCUACCA